AAGGGUGCGUAGGCGGCCUGUUAAGUCAGGGGUGAAAGACGGUAGCUCAACUAUCGCAGUGCCCUUGAUACUGAUGGGCUUGAAUUGACUAGAGGUAGGCGGAAUGUGACAAGUAGCGGUGAAAUGCAUAGAUAUGUCACAGAACACCGAUUGCGAAGGCAGCUUACUAUGGUCUUAUUGACGCUGAGGCACGAAAGCGUGGGGAUCAAACAGGAUUAGAUACCCCUGGU
This 230-nucleotide ribosomal RNA is filed under the name uncultured bacterium. RNAcentral's name for it is "partial 16S ribosomal RNA". It matches the Rfam family "Bacterial small subunit ribosomal RNA", at positions 563 to 791 of the family's 1533-position model. The record is from RNAcentral.